RNAcentral lists this long non-coding RNA (1478 nucleotides) under Solanum tuberosum (potato). RNAcentral's name for it is "long non-coding RNA (STUB_LNC001264)". Lineage: Eukaryota; Viridiplantae; Streptophyta; Magnoliopsida; Solanales; Solanaceae. The record is from RNAcentral.
GGUGGGGUGGGGUGAGGGGGAGGGUACUAUUGUUCAACAACCAUAAAAGCUUUGAGAAGCCUUUUACAUAGCAGAUGAACCUCCAAAAAACUUCUUUUCCUUCAAACUUUCAACAGUUUCUUUGAUGCUUUCUUCAAGGGUAGUAAAUUCAACACCCAAGCUUUUUGCCUUUUCCCUUGAUACUUGAUAGUUUUGCAUCAAUGGGUUGUCAUCAGCACACCUACAAAGGUUAUUUAGAAAAAAUGCAGUUCAAACAAUUUCAGUGAAAAGCUAAUAGUUCCAUAUAUUAACAUAAUCCCGAGUAAAAAUGUAGCGACCCUAAGAAUUUCGUUUGGAGGUGAUAAAUGUUAACUAAUAUAUAAAGAAUUGUUUGGCAUGUCAAAGAUGGAUAACAAACUAGUGCAAUAUCAGUUGGACGUGAUAGCAAGUGUACGAGAUGUAUUAUUUGAAGUGAUUUAGGGUCUAAGGAGAAUCCUAGGGCGAAGUAAAGUUGGAAACUACAUGACAAACUAAAGAUUCAAAUGAGCAUGCACUAGGACCAAGUGACCAACUUCAAACGAUCAUCACUCCCUAUCUAUAUCGAGUUAGGCUGAUAAGAUAUCAAAUAAAAGCUCUUUGAGUUGUAAAAUAAGAAUGACUUUAUUAUGGUAUAAAGUAUUACAAUUUCAUAGAGGAAAGAAAGAAAAAACAGUUUUAGAAUUAUUCAGUAUUUUUAUCAUCUUGCAUUCUAAGUGUUCUCUAAGAACUGCAUUGGAUUGCGUAGGGUUUCUCAUAUUAAGGAGGAGUAGAUAAGCCAAGAAGGUUUGCUCGUAAGGCACCGGGUCUUGGCUCGUCUUUAUCAGAAAUUGGGUCCUCCCCCUUUUUGUUACCUUUUCUUGUGGUUACAAUGUUUCCUUUAAAGAUCAGGAGGACUUAUUUAGAAUCACUAGCAAGGCUAGUCCAACCAAGAAAGAAAAGGGAAUCUAUGGGCAUUGUCUGGUUCAAGUUAGUGGUUUGCAAACACUUGGAUAUAAGUUGCAUAUAAUCAAAGAGCAUUCAAUCUAUGAAUGACUCGGAGUGGAUAAUCAAAGAAGGUUCACUAUUAGGAGAUUGAAACCACACUAUGAUCAAAUUUGACAGUAUAUUGCUCUUCACAUAUUUUAAGAUUUCAUUCAGAAUAACACUAGCUUUUCCAUCGUCUCUUGUGCUCUCUCUCUCUCUCACACACACGCGCGCGCGCGCACACAGUGAACAAGAAUGAAUCUACACAUUCAACAUAAAACACUAUCAACAUAUUCAUCUAACCACAUAACAACAUUUGUGUGAUCAAAGCUCAAUAUAGAAGUUUCAUCAAAGCAAAACAUCGACUUAUUUUUCAUAUGAAUACUUACUUUUCUGGAAGUUGCAUAGUAGGAUAAAGGUCACGCAAUAUCUUCAAUAUAUCAGAAUAGUGUGCAACUCUCUCAACCAUUAAGUAUCUCCCAUUAGCUGAAGGGUUC